RNAcentral lists this ribosomal RNA (255 nucleotides) under uncultured bacterium. RNAcentral's name for it is "partial small subunit ribosomal RNA". It matches the Rfam family "Bacterial small subunit ribosomal RNA", at positions 26 to 285 of the family's 1533-position model. The record is from RNAcentral.
AGGACGAACGCUGGCGGCGUGCUUAACACAUGCAAGUCGAGCGGAAAGGCCCUUCGGGGUACUCGAGCGGCGAACGGGUGAGUAACACGUGGGCAACCUGCCCCUCACACUGGGAUAACCUCGGGAAACCGGGGCUAAUACCGGAUAUGACCUCGAGCGGCAUCUCUUGAGGUGGAAAGCUCCGACGGUGAGGGAUGGGCCCGCGGCCUAUCAGCUUGUUGGUGGGGUAAUGGCCUACCAAGGCGACGACGGGUA